UGUAUGCUGUUUGUUUGUGCAUAUUUAAUUUGAAUUGGAGCAGAGAAGGUUGUGUUUUGUGCAUUACCCUGCAGAGUUUCUGAGUUUGUUAAUAUUAUCUCAUAUCUGUAAAGUGAAUGAGCUACUUUAACUGAGUUGUGUAAGAGAAAAGAAGUCAGGACGCUCGUGCAGGUGUGACUUUAUUUAAUAUUUACAGGAUUAGAAACUAGAAACUGCCAAGCUUUAGUAGAGACACAAACACAAUGAUAAACUCUUAGAACUACGGUGGCCCAGAAGGGCAAAUCAUCUUUCCCGUAUAUGUGUGCGUUUUUUCCCUUGUAAGUGUGUUUUUUCCCUUAUAAAUGUCGUUUUUUCCCUUAUAAAUGUGUUUUUUUUCCUUGAAAAUGUCCGCCUUUUCCCUUAUAAAUGUCGUUUUUUCCCUUAUAAAUGUGUUUUUUUUUCCUUGAAAAUGUCCGCCUUUUCCCUUAUAAAUGUCUUUUUUUCCCUUAUAAAUGUGGGUUUUUUUUCCAUUGAAAAUGUCCGCUUUUUCCCGUGUAACUGUGCGCCUUUUCCCGUGUAAAUGUCUGCUCUUUUCCGUUUGUGCGCAACUACUUCUUUCCCGUGUGAGAACUCUUUCUCCAGUAUUUUGCAAGCUAAAAGCUAAAGCUAAUGCACAAAGGACUAUGGGAGUGGGGUCAAAACGCAACUGAACACGGAACCUUUCCGGAUAUCAGCUCCAGGACUCAACAUCAUGGAGUAUACAGUGAAUUAUAGCGUGAUAAAGUUAUAAUUUUCACUAAAUUUUCAACUGCACACACUUACCAGUAAACUGUGUGUAUAUCAUCAACUGCCUGUGUAUCAGCUGAUUUCUACACCAGCUUUACAUCCUGAGCAGAAGGAAGUGCUAAAGCUGUGGUGACUAUAGAGCCUGAUAAACACGUGUACAGAGGAGAGAAUGUUACUCUCACAUGUGACAUACAGGGAGAAGGAGACACUAAGUGGACCUACAGCUGGUAUAAGAAUAACAAG
This is a long non-coding RNA of Clarias gariepinus (North African catfish), 1008 nucleotides long. RefSeq lists it as uncharacterized. The record is from RefSeq and is a predicted model, not a curated record. Lineage: Eukaryota; Metazoa; Chordata; Actinopteri; Siluriformes; Clariidae. The transcript has 3 exons.